GCCUUCAUGGUGUAGCGGUUGCACGCUCGGCGCGUAUUCGAGAGGUCCGUGGUUCGAAUCCCGGCAAGGGCA
RNAcentral lists this transfer RNA (72 nucleotides) under Stegodyphus mimosarum. It matches the Rfam family "tRNA". Rfam says of the family: Transfer RNA (tRNA) molecules are approximately 80 nucleotides in length. Their secondary structure includes four short double-helical elements and three loops (D, anti-codon, and T loops). The record is from Rfam by way of RNAcentral. Lineage: Eukaryota; Metazoa; Arthropoda; Arachnida; Araneae; Eresidae.